Molecule: long non-coding RNA, 681 nt
Organism: Rosa chinensis
Lineage: Eukaryota; Viridiplantae; Streptophyta; Magnoliopsida; Rosales; Rosaceae
Exons: 2
Source: RefSeq, a predicted model, not a curated record
UUUUGCCCACUUGAGGGAUAGGCUCGCAGCCCUUGGAUCUGUUCUAAUGAGGUUCGACGGCUGAGAUUAAAUCAAGAUUCUGAUCCCGUUCUGACCCCAAUUCGCGAGCUCCCCAAUUCUUUCUGCCUCUCUGGCGAGCAUGGAACGCUCAGAGACCUCAAAUCAGGUAUGGCUCUUCUUCUCUUAUGGUAUUUCUUUCCAAUUCGCGAUCUCAAUUCUCAAACCCUUUCUAACCCCAAUUCGCAAGCUCCCCAAUUGUUUCUGCCUCACUGGUGAGUAUGGAACGCUCAGAGACCUCAAAUCAGUGGAGAUGGCAUAGUAUGAAGGCUUGAAAUUUAUCAAUGUGGAUCAUCCUUUUGCUGAGACGUGCUAUUGAAAACUUGUCUGCAAAGCACCUUUUCAAUGGAUUGGUUGUCGGCAAAGCACUAUCGAAAUUUGGCUGCCUCUAGAUGCUGCCAACGAUACUUUGUUUUCUAAUCUGCUUUGGUUAACUUUGUUAGUUUUGAAUCCAAGUCUGGUGUUGCCUAGUAUGGUUCAGACAUAUAGCUUGUUCUAGUGCUUCUGGUAAAGUGUACUAUCUACCAAUUUAAAUGCAGUUUGAUAUAAAGUUUGAUCAAGUAUGAAUUAUGCGUUGUUAAUUUGAUACAACAUGGCAUGAGAAUUGAUUGUUAUUAUUCUGGA